CCGGAGAAACGCUUCAGCACCACCCCAGGAGAAUAGAGCGCGGGCUGGGGCUGCGGAGGGACCCGGCGACCUCUGUCAGGAGCGAGGGGAGGGCCGGGACGCCAGGGAUAAAGGGAAAGGCAGAGACCAGAGCUGCCCACCCAGGGACUCCCAGGGCAACAAAGCCAGGCAAACUGAGAGCGGGAGAGGCGGUGGCCAACUCAGCACAGGCUGCGGACUCAGCGUGGUGACAGAUCCCUCAAGCUAGAAGACUUCUGUUAGGAGAAGCGUUAUCCUGUCAGUUGAUUACCCUGAGUUAUUAUUAUUGCUGUUUGACAGAUGAAAAACUGACAUGGAGAAAAGUUAGACAAUUCCUCCAAAUCACAAAGAUAAUGCCUAGAUCUAGAAGCCAAACAGAUGGGUUGAAGGUGAUACCUAAUUUUAACAUUUGAUGACUCCUGCCAAAUUACCCUCUGAAAAGAAUUUAACAAUUUAUAUUCCUUCCACAUCAUUGCCUCUUUCCCCACAUCAUAAUGUAAGUCUUCUUAUUUUUUACUCACCAAAGGGAGAGAAAUAUUUACUGUUUAAAACUGAGCACCUUUUAAACUGCUUUUCUUUCUUUAUUGGCUUAACUCUUCAAGAUGUGUCUUUUUUCUGAUUGGACUAUUGUUUUUAUCUUUACUGGCUUUUAGAAGCUCUUUAUAUAAUCUGGAUAAUAAGCUUUCGUCAUCAAUAUAUGUUGCAGAUAUUUCCUCUCAGUGUGUCAUCAGAUUUUGUAUUUAUGUCUAUUUAUUAUGUCUGUGACCAUACAAAUUAUUAAAUUUCUUAUAAGGUUAGGCUAAGCUUCUUUCUUUAUGAGUUAAUGGGGGUUGUCUGUCUUAGAAAGGAUCUCUCAUUCCAAACCUUAAAACUAUUCUCCUAAUAAUUUUAGAUUUGUUCAACUGAGAGAGUGCUUAACUCAGGAGAUCAAUAAAGGUUCAUAGAGGAAGAAGUAUUUGAAAUUGUCCUGGAAGAACAAUAUUUUUCAACAGGCAGAGAUGGAGAAAGGACAAUCUACAUGAACAGAACAGCAUGAGCAAAAAGAACUGGUUAGAGACUAUCCAUAGGAUAAAUUUCUAGCAAAUUGCUGAGUCCAGGAUAUGCAUGUUUGCAAUUUUGGAAGAUCUUAAAAACUUGCCUCCUAUAGGUGUUGUACCAGUAUAUACUUCUGCCAGUAAUAGAUGGGUGGGCUGCUGAUGCCUCAAAAUGUAAGUAUUUUCAAACUUUUAAAUUUUAGCCCAUUUAACAUAAUUUAAAAAUUAUGUCUCUGUGUGAUUUUAGUUCCAUUUCCCUUAUUAUAUAUAAGACUGAACAUCUUGGCAUAUGUUUAAGGGCCAUCUGCAUUUCCUUUUCUGUGCACUGUCAGCUUAUAUGCUUUGCCCAUUUUUUCUAGUAGAUGGUUAGUGUUUUUCUUAUUGAUUUGUAUAUAUUCUGUAUUACUCCUUUAUCACAUUGCCACAAAGAAAUGCCUGAGAUGGUGUCAUUUAUAGAGAAAAGAGGUUUAAUUGGCUCACAGUUCCACAGGCUAUACAGGAAGCAUGGCUGAGGAGG
Molecule: long non-coding RNA, 1569 nt
Filed under: Homo sapiens (human)
Lineage: Eukaryota; Metazoa; Chordata; Mammalia; Primates; Hominidae
Description: HSALNT0327258
Source: RNAcentral